Long non-coding RNA from Mesocricetus auratus (golden hamster), 1142 nucleotides. RefSeq lists it as uncharacterized. NCBI's taxonomy places the organism in Eukaryota, Metazoa, Chordata, Mammalia, Rodentia, Cricetidae. The record is from RefSeq and is a predicted model, not a curated record. The transcript has 3 exons.
UUACCUUCUGAGGCAAAACGUUUUAUUUUGGCUUGUAUAUAUAAAUCAUGAUGUUAAAAUCAUUGCUUGUUUCUGGAAUGGAAGCAUUGCCGAUUUCUCAGAAGAAAAUUAUGUUAAUGAGUAUGUCCGUUUGCAUUGUUCCUACUUCAGUCUUGUGGCAAUACAACCAGCUCUAUGACAGCUUCUCCUUAUUUCAGCCACGCAGAGCACCACUUACUGCAUAGGAUAAUUUUGUACUCUAGGCACCGCCCUUUUCUUAAGUGAGUUACUAAGAAGAGUGACAUGGUCUAAAGCUGGCAGUGAAAACGCCGUGUGCUGUUGAUAUCAUGGAUUGGGCUUUUUCUUAGACUCACUAGAGUAGUGAAAUAGUGAAAUGCCACCAGAUAGUUUCCUGAUGACAUAAAUACAGGGUGCAGUAGUGAUUGCAAGAACUGGAUGAAAUGGCAGUCAGAAGCACAGAGCCGGGAUCUCUCAAUGGUGGAACAGACUUCACACUGGGAUAGCCUACAGCUGAGGCCUCUCAGAGACACAGAGGAGUCAGGGAUGGAGUUCUGAUCGAGCGAUGCAUCCCUGCCACACCCACAAAGGUGGCAGAAGGUGAUGGCAGCAGGUCCAAGAGUGGAGUUGCUGGAACUCAUCUUAGGUCUCAUACUCAGGAGGUGACUCUGUGUAAGAACAUGGGAGAGGAAAAAACACAGUGACCCCUUGAGAAAUGUGAUUAUUUAAGAUUCAGGCCUGUUGGGGAAUGUUGGGAGUCACUUUUCCUAAAGCACCAACAGGAAGUUGAUUAUACUUUUGACCCUUGUGGAAACGGUAGAAAGAGGGGCAGAAUCAUGGAGUUGGUCUGGUCUAGCAGCCUUGAGAGGCAUGCGUCACAGAUUUUCAGGUUUAGGGUCUGUGGUUCCUGAGGACUCUAUGCCUUUAAGUUCCUGAGAAACCGAGGCACUCCCUCAGACAAUGGCACAUUCUGGCUGCCUGUGUUUCUCUGUGUUCCCUAGAAUUCAGCAAGGUUUAUAGAGACUUGAUAGGACAAUUGUCCUUAGACAUUAAUCUUUUGUACCCUGUAGAGAUGGCAAACAUCAUUGUAUCCUGGUGCUGCCAUUAUAUUCUGAUAAGGGUAUAAAACCUCUGAUUGCAUGCAA